AAAUCUAAUUCAAAGCAAAAACUAUACUGUAAGUGUAUAUCAAUAAUACUAAAAUAUCACUGGUGCAAAUGAUGACAAAAUUUUCAUUCAUCACAAUGGAGUGGCAACAAGCUUCAGAAUCCUGUUUGACCAAUCAGAUUCAGGUAAGAUCUACCAACAUUUUACCAACGUUGAAUAUUUGGAAAAGAGAAGUAACGACUCCGUCUCAGUGUCUCCUUUUUCCUCUCUCCUCCUUUUCUCACAUAUGAGAGCGUUUCGCUCUCUGUGGCUCAGCGUGACACACUCCACGUUCGAAUGAAAGACGGGAGCGAGGCAGCAUCCCACGGGGAGAGACACGGAGACAAAGCCGAAGAGUCUCUGUAUGGCUUCGGCCUUGGGGAGCCGAAGGUUCGGUUUAGGUUACACCAACGUGCCUCGGCCUCGAGUCUCUGUGACCCAGACCUGCACAAUCACCAAACGCCGGCCCAGCAGUGAGCCUUGUAUCUCAGUCAGAUGAGGUGAAUUCAGAGCGGCAGGGUGGGGAGAGAAACGUGACUGCAAAAGAUAGAGUGAGUGGAAAAACCUGCAUGCUGCUAGUGCAGCUCUUGAUGACUCAUAAAGUGUUGCC
This is a long non-coding RNA of Megalobrama amblycephala (Wuchang bream), 607 nucleotides long. RefSeq lists it as uncharacterized. The record is from RefSeq and is a predicted model, not a curated record. Lineage: Eukaryota; Metazoa; Chordata; Actinopteri; Cypriniformes; Xenocyprididae. The transcript is spliced from 2 exons.